CUCCUACGGGAGGCAGCAGUGAGGAAUAUUGGUCAAUGGGCGAGAGCCCGAACCAGCCAAGUAGCGUGCAGGAUGACGGCCCUAUGGGUUGUAAACUGCUUUUAUAAGGGAAUAAAGUGAGUCUCGUGAGACUUUUUGCAUGUACCUUAUGAAUAAGGACCGGCUAAUUCCGUGCCAGCAGCCGCGGUAAUACGGAAGGUCCGGGCGUUAUCCGGAUUUAUUGGGUUUAAAGGGAGCGUAGGCCGGAGAUUAAGCGUGUUGUGAAAUGUAGACGCUCAACGUCUGCACUGCGGCGCGAACUGGUUUCCUUGAGUACGCACAAAGUGGGCGGAAUUCGUGGUGUAGCGGUGAAAUGCUUAGAUAUCACGAAGAACUCCGAUUGCGAAGGCAGCUCACUGGAGCGCAACUGACGCUGAAGCUCGAAAGUGCGGGUAUCGAACAGGAUUAGAUACCCUGGUAGUCCGCACGGUAAACGAUGGAUGCCCGCUGUUGGUCUGAAUAGGUCAGCGGCCAAGCGAA
Molecule: ribosomal RNA, 519 nt
Filed under: uncultured Bacteroidota bacterium
Lineage: Bacteria; Pseudomonadati; Bacteroidota
Description: bacterial SSU rRNA
Rfam family: Bacterial small subunit ribosomal RNA
Source: RNAcentral